Molecule: long non-coding RNA, 468 nt
Organism: Mastomys coucha (southern multimammate mouse)
Lineage: Eukaryota; Metazoa; Chordata; Mammalia; Rodentia; Muridae
Exons: 3
Source: RefSeq, a predicted model, not a curated record
GGAUGCCUUCAGAUGAAGAUGUAAAACUCUUGGUUCCCCCAAUACCCAGUCUACCUGGACGCUGCCAUGCUUCACGCCAUGAUGAUAACGGACGAAACUUCUGAGACUCACAAACCUGAAGAUCUAUGUUCCAUCCCUGGAACCCACGGUGAGAGCAGAGAACUGACUCCUGAAAGCUGACCUCUGACCUCCACCAAUGCAUAUGAGGAAAAGAAGCCUGGAGCAGGCAGGUCGUCUGUAGGAGGCUGCCCACUCGUCCACACAUCCUACCAAUGCUGAAGAAAGAAAAGCCAUGGAAUGCCCAACCCUUCAGCGGCUGAUCCCAGAAACCCAGGCCGAGGGGACAAGUGGCUUGCCUCUCUGUGCCUCAGCUUCCUCUCGUCUAAUGCUGGAAUGAUUGCAGGCUCAGUCACUCAGGCUCUCAUCUUGCCUGAGACACACAGCUAUUCAAUGACCUCUGGUGCUCCU